AACGAACGCUGGCGGCGUGCCUAACACAUGCAAGUCGAACGAGAAAGGGGCUUCGGCUCCGAGUAAAGUGGCGCACGGGUGAGUAACACGUGGGUAACCUGCCUCUAAGAUUGGGAUAACUCGUCGAAAGAUGAGCUAAUACCGAAUAAGACCACAGUUCCUGCGGGGACAGGGGUCAAAGGUAGCCUCUGCUUGCAAGCUAUCACUUAGAGAUGGGCCUGCGCACCAUUAGCUAGUUGGUAGGGUAACGGCCUACCAAGGCAAAGAUGGUUAGCUGGUCUGAGAGGAUGAUCAGCCACACUGGAACUGAGACACGGUCCAGACUCCUACGGGAGGCAGCAGUGGGGAAUAUUGCGCAAUGGGCGAAAGCCUGACGCAGCAACGCCGCGUGAGUGAUGAAGGCCUUCGGGUCGUAAAGCUCUGUCGGGAGGAACGAAUGCUCCUGAGGUUAACAGCCUCGGGAGGUGACGGUACCUUCAAAGGAAGCACCGGCUAACUCUGUGCCAGCAGCCGCCGUAAAAC
This 522-nucleotide ribosomal RNA is filed under the name uncultured bacterium. Its description in RNAcentral is "bacterial SSU rRNA". It matches the Rfam family "Bacterial small subunit ribosomal RNA", at positions 29 to 526 of the family's 1533-position model. The record is from RNAcentral.